This 66-nucleotide transfer RNA is filed under the name Branchiostoma belcheri (Belcher's lancelet). RNAcentral's name for it is "tRNA-His". The record is from RNAcentral. Lineage: Eukaryota; Metazoa; Chordata; Leptocardii; Amphioxiformes; Branchiostomatidae.
GUUAGUCUAGUUUAUUAGAAUGUUAAGUUGUGGUCUUAAAGGAGGGUAGUGUAAUAUCCGAUUAGC